Molecule: long non-coding RNA, 293 nt
Filed under: Calidris pugnax (ruff)
Lineage: Eukaryota; Metazoa; Chordata; Aves; Charadriiformes; Scolopacidae
Description: lncRNA (ENSCPUG00000009631.1)
Source: RNAcentral
AAGAUGCAUGACUUCAGCUUUUUAUUUAUUCCUAGGCUCACUGUGAAUCCUAAACCAUGUGAUGCACCUGGGUAUUCUGGCUUUACUGGAAGAUUCAUGGACAGUUAUCAUACUGGUAUGAAGUUUCCAGACAAAUACAUACAUUGCAGCUGUUUUUUGAAUGGGGAAUGUUUUUAUUUUCCAGAAGAUGUCAUUAUAAAGUGAGCUUCUCUGAUCUUUCAACUUUCUGGUAAGUAAUUAAACCAGGCUUUUCCGUUUUCUGUAUGUUUUCUGUAUGAAGCUGCCAUGAACUU